RNAcentral lists this long non-coding RNA (1118 nucleotides) under Salmo salar (Atlantic salmon). Its description in RNAcentral is "lncRNA (ENSSSAG00000086377.1)". The record is from RNAcentral. Lineage: Eukaryota; Metazoa; Chordata; Actinopteri; Salmoniformes; Salmonidae.
CAGAACCAGUAGAGAGUAGGUCCACUCUCCUCAAGGCUAGCAUCAGAACCAGUAGAGAGUAGGACCACUCUCCUCAAGGCUAACAUCAGAACCAGUAGAGAGUAGGUCCACUCUCCUCAAGGCUAACAUCAGAACCAGUAGAGAGGAGGUCCACUCUCCUCAAGACUAGCAUCAGAACCAGUAGAGAGGAGGUCCACUCUCCUCAAGGCUAGCAUCAGAACCAGUAGAGAGUAGGUCCACUCUCCUCAAGACUAGCAUCAGAACCAGUAGAGUAGGUCCACUCUCCUCAAGGCUAACAUCAGAACCAGUAGAGAGUGGGUCCACUCUCCUCAAGACUAGCAUCAGAACCAGUAGAGUAGGUCCACUCUCCUCAAGGCUAGCAUCAGAACCAGUAGAGAGGAGGUCCACUCUCCUCAAGGCUAGCAUCAGAACCAGUAGAGAGUAGGACCACUCUCCUCAAGACUAACAUCAGAACCAGUAGAGAGUAGGUCCACUCUCCUCAAGGCUAACAUCAGAACCAGUAGAGAGUAGGACCACUCUCUUCAAGGCUAGCAUCAGAACCAGUAGAGAGUAGAACCACUCUCCUCAAGGCUAGCAUCAGAACCAGUAGAGAGUAGGUCCACUCUCCUCAAGGCUAGCAUCAGAACCAGUAGAGAGUAGGACCACUCUCCUCAAGGCUAGCAUCAGAACCAGUAGAGAUUAGGACCACUCUCCUCAAGGCUAGCAUCAGAACCAGUAGAGAGUAGGUCCACUCUCCUCAAGGCUAGCAUCAGAACCAGUAGAGAGUAGGUCCACUCUCCUCAAGGCUAGCAUCAAAACCAGUAGAGUAGGACCACUCUCCUCAAGGCUAGCAUCAGAACCAGUAGAGAGUAGGACCACUCUCCUCAAGGCUAGCAUCAGAACCAGUAGAGAAUAGGACCACUAUCCUCAAGGCUAGCAUAAGAACCAGUAGAGAGUAGGUCCACUCUCCUCAAGACUAGCAUCAGAACCAGUAGAGAGUAGAACCACUCUCCUCAAGGCUAGCAUCAGAACCAGUAGAGAGUAGGUCCACUCUCCUCAAGGCUAGCAUCAGAACCAGUAGAGAGUAGGUCCACUCUCCUCAAGGCUAGCAUCAGAAC